GACGAACGCUGGCGGCGUGCCUAAUACAUGCAAGUCGAACGCAGUGGGGACGGGUGAGUAACACGUGGGUAACCUCCCAUCAGAGGGGAUAACACUUGGAAACAGGUGCUAAACCGAUACUGAUGGAUGGCCCCGCGGUGCAUUAGCUAGUUGGUGAGGUAACGGCUCACCAAGGCCACGAUGCAUAGCCGACCUGAUAGGGUGAGCGACCAGACUGAGACUGAGACCCGGCCCAGACUCCUACGUGAGACAGCAGUAGGGAAUCUUCGGCAAUGGACGAAAGUCUAACCGAGCAACGCCGCGUGAGUGAAGAAGGUUUUCGGAUCGUAAAACUCUGUUGUUAGAGAAGCGGUAUCUAACCAGAAAGCCGCAGCUAACUACGUGCCAGCCGCCGCGGUAAUAC
This 403-nucleotide ribosomal RNA is filed under the name uncultured bacterium. RNAcentral describes it as "partial 16S ribosomal RNA". It matches the Rfam family "Bacterial small subunit ribosomal RNA", at positions 28 to 526 of the family's 1533-position model. The record is from RNAcentral.